This is a long non-coding RNA of Gavialis gangeticus (Gharial), 319 nucleotides long. RefSeq lists it as uncharacterized. The transcript has 3 exons. The record is from RefSeq and is a predicted model, not a curated record. Lineage: Eukaryota; Metazoa; Chordata; Crocodylia; Gavialidae.
AUACAAAAAGGUUGUCCACUUGCAAAGCAAAAAACAAACAAAUUACCAUCAAACCAAAAAUACCAUGUCAUUGCAUUCAUCACAUCACACCAUGACAAACAGCUUUGCUACAUUCCACGUUGUGGCGUACAUGCUAGUUAUGCGGUCGGAACGCCGGCCACACAGUUAUAACUAUAAAUAAACAGUUCCUAUCCCACUCUAUCCAAUCAUACACGUGACAACACCUGCAACUUCCCACUCAAAAAGAAAGCAAAAAAGCAGCCUGGUGAGGGCCCAAGACGUGGCACGAGCUGGAAGUCCUAGGCUGUUGCUGGGCCUG